This 77-nucleotide transfer RNA is filed under the name Shewanella amazonensis. Its description in RNAcentral is "tRNA-Ile(gat)". It matches the Rfam family "tRNA". From Rfam's summary of the family: Transfer RNA (tRNA) molecules are approximately 80 nucleotides in length. Their secondary structure includes four short double-helical elements and three loops (D, anti-codon, and T loops). Further hydrogen bonds mediate the characteristic L-shaped molecular structure. tRNAs have two regions of fundamental functional importance: the anti-codon, which is responsible for specific mRNA codon recognition, and the 3' end, to which the tRNAs corresponding amino acid is attached (by aminoacyl-tRNA synthetases). tRNAs cope with the degeneracy of the genetic code in two manners: having more than one tRNA (with a specific anti-codon) for a particular amino acid; and 'wobble' base-pairing, i.e. permitting non-standard base-pairing at the 3rd anti-codon position. RNAcentral also lists the same sequence under 4 other names. The record is from RNAcentral. Lineage: Bacteria; Pseudomonadati; Pseudomonadota; Gammaproteobacteria; Alteromonadales; Shewanellaceae.
GGGUCUGUAGCUCAGGUGGUUAGAGCGUACGCCUGAUAAGCGUAAGGUCGGUAGUUCGAGUCUACUCAGACCCACCA